UGCCAGCAGCCGCGGUAACACGGGGGGCGCAAGCGUUAUUCGGAAUUAUUGGGCGUAAAGGGCGUGUAGGCGGUCGAUUUAGUCGGGUGUGAAAGCCCUCCGCUCAACGGAGGAACGGCACUCGAUACUGAUCGACUAGAGUGCGGCAGUGGUAAGUGGAACUCCAGGUGUAGCGGUGAAAUGCGUAGAUAUCUGGAGGAACGCCGGUGGCGAAAGCGACUUACUGGGCCGCAACUGACGCUGAGGCGCGAAAGCUAGGGUAGCGAACGGGAUUAGAUA
Molecule: ribosomal RNA, 279 nt
Filed under: uncultured bacterium
Lineage: Bacteria
Description: partial 16S ribosomal RNA
Rfam family: Bacterial small subunit ribosomal RNA
Source: RNAcentral